CUGGACCCGACGGUGAAGCCUCGUUCCCCACAAAAUAAGCCCGCGCACACCCUGCUGCCUCCCAAAAUUCUGUUCGUCCCGCCAGCGCCUCCAAGGAGGUCCCGCUCCGGCCGCCGGCCCUGCUUGCGGCGGCCACCGUCCCGUGCAGAGGUGUCGCCCCCGCCCCGAGCACCUGACGCACCGCCAUCCCUGAGCUCCCGCGCCGACCCCUGCCGCACGCGCCGCCGUCCCCGAGUCCCGGCGCCUCCCUCGACGCCAGCGCCGCCCCCGCGAGGCUCUGCCGUGCCGCCGUUGCGAGGAGCUGUCCUGCCGCCGUGGCGAGGAGGUCCGGCCUCCUACUCGCUCCUCCGCUCCUUGACGUGCCUGCAUCUAUCAAGGGCGAUUUUCAUUAUUCAAGUCUUAUUGUGGGAAACAAAGCAGAGAUUAAUGCGGAGAAGGAUGGAGGGGCUUGUGGUAAUGGUGAGGGUGGAGAAGGGGAUGGAAGCCCUUCUGCAUACUUAAACCUCAAUGGCAAUGAUGAGGUGGCAGCUCAGAAUGAGGAAGAGACCAAGGUGUUAGUUGCCUGUAGGCCCAAACAUGGUCGGAACAAGAUGCCCAAGGGUCGAUCUCUUAUUACCAAGCUCGAUGAAUUAGGUUGCUCCUGUCAAGGUGAUGGAGCUAAGUACACAUAAUCUAGGUGUAAUGCAUAGACCGUAUCGUUCUCAUCAAAGAUUACAAUAUAUUUGGUGUAUGGACUUCGUUCUUAUCAAACAUUACAAUAUAUUUGAUGUGUGGACUCUUGGUUUUAAUCUCGAUGUAUUGACUCUUCGUUUUAAUUUUGAUGUAUGGACUCUUUUGUUUAAUCAUGAUGUAUGGACUUCGUUUAAUCUUGAUGUACAAGCUGUUUAGUUGAAUUCUACUGCUUUAA
Molecule: long non-coding RNA, 907 nt
Organism: Panicum virgatum (switchgrass)
Lineage: Eukaryota; Viridiplantae; Streptophyta; Magnoliopsida; Poales; Poaceae
Exons: 3
Source: RefSeq, a predicted model, not a curated record